GUAGAUAUAAUUUAACAAAAAUGCUAGAUUGUGAUUCUAGAAAUAAAGGUUAAACCCCUUUUAUUUACC
Molecule: transfer RNA, 69 nt
Filed under: Photopectoralis bindus (orangefin ponyfish)
Lineage: Eukaryota; Metazoa; Chordata; Actinopteri; Chaetodontiformes; Leiognathidae
Also listed under: 1 other name
Description: tRNA-His
Rfam family: tRNA
About the family: Transfer RNA (tRNA) molecules are approximately 80 nucleotides in length. Their secondary structure includes four short double-helical elements and three loops (D, anti-codon, and T loops). Further hydrogen bonds mediate the characteristic L-shaped molecular structure. tRNAs have two regions of fundamental functional importance: the anti-codon, which is responsible for specific mRNA codon recognition, and the 3' end, to which the tRNAs corresponding amino acid is attached (by aminoacyl-tRNA synthetases). tRNAs cope with the degeneracy of the genetic code in two manners: having more than one tRNA (with a specific anti-codon) for a particular amino acid; and 'wobble' base-pairing, i.e. permitting non-standard base-pairing at the 3rd anti-codon position.
Source: RNAcentral